Molecule: ribosomal RNA, 133 nt
Filed under: uncultured bacterium
Lineage: Bacteria
Description: partial 16S ribosomal RNA
Source: RNAcentral
CGUAGUUGGCCGGGCCUUCUUCUGGAGGUACCGUCAUUUUCGUCCCUCCUGAAAGCGGUUUACAACCCGAAGGCCUUCAUCCCGCACGCGGUGUCGCUGCAUCAGGCUUUCGCCCAUUGUGCAAUAUUCCCUG